RNAcentral lists this ribosomal RNA (398 nucleotides) under uncultured bacterium. Its description in RNAcentral is "partial 16S ribosomal RNA". It matches the Rfam family "Bacterial small subunit ribosomal RNA", at positions 361 to 776 of the family's 1533-position model. The record is from RNAcentral.
AUAUUGGACAAUGGGCGCAAGCCUGAUCCAGCCAUGCCGCGUGAGUGAUGAAGGCACUNGGGUAGNANAGCUCUUUCACCGGUAANGCUAAUGACGGUAACCGGAGAAGAAGCCCCGGCCAACUUCGUGCCAGCAGCCGCGGUAAUACGAAGGGGGCUAGCAGUGUUCGGAAUUAACGGGCGUAAAGCGCACGUAGGCGGACAUUUAAGGCAGGGGUGAAAUCCCGGGGCUCAACCCCGGAACUGCCUUUGAUACUGGAUGUCUGGAGUAUGGAAGAGGUGAGUGGAAUUCCGAGUGUAGAGGUGAAAUUCGUAGAUAUUCGGAGGAACACCAGUGGCGAAGGCGGCUCACUGGUCCAUUACUGACGCUGAGGUGCGAAAGCGUGGGGAGCAAACAGG